CAGCACCUCAAGUGGUCAGGAUGAUUAUUGGGCCUAAAGCAUCCGUAGCCGGCGCUGUAAGUUUUCGGUUAAAUCUGUACGCUCAACGUACAGGCUGCCGGGAAUACUGCAGCGCUAGGGAGUGGGAGAGGUAGACGGUACUCGGUAGGAAGGGGUAAAAUCCUUUGAUCUAUUGAUGACCACCUGUAGCGAAGGCGGUCUACCAGAACACGUCCGACGGUGAGGGAUGAAAGCUGGGGGAGCAAACCGGAUUAGAUACCCGAGUAGUCC
Molecule: ribosomal RNA, 270 nt
Filed under: uncultured archaeon
Lineage: Archaea
Description: partial 16S ribosomal RNA
Rfam family: Archaeal small subunit ribosomal RNA
Source: RNAcentral